RNAcentral lists this long non-coding RNA (420 nucleotides) under Brassica napus (rape). RNAcentral describes it as "long non-coding RNA (BNAP_LNC007547)". The record is from RNAcentral. Lineage: Eukaryota; Viridiplantae; Streptophyta; Magnoliopsida; Brassicales; Brassicaceae.
UAUAUAUAUAAUUCUUUUAAAAGAGUGGUGGAUAUAUUAGUGAUUGAAGUGAUAUUGACUGAAGUGAUACUUAUCAAAUUUCCACCUUUCAUAGGAAUUCGAGUUUUAUCUUUUUGUUGUAACAUAUUUCGAUUUCUUUUUUGGUUUAAUCAGAUUUUGUAUUUAGCAGUGGCUAUUUUGUAUUGUUUCGAUCCGGAACUGAUCAGUUUCUUCAUGGUCUUAUAUCUUUAUCAGGUCGAUUGUAAUAAAAGUUCGAUCUUGGAUCAGUUUCUCGAAGAGACUCUCGGUGAAUCAAAUCAAUCCCAGCCAACCUUUAAUCAAACGAAAGCACCAACCUUUGCAGGGCAAUAUUAACAAAGAGAGUAAAGUGAAAAUAUCUGCAUUAACAUUAAUAUGUGUAUAAUGUUCACUACAAGUGUU